Molecule: non-coding RNA, 36364 nt
Organism: Callithrix jacchus (white-tufted-ear marmoset)
Lineage: Eukaryota; Metazoa; Chordata; Mammalia; Primates; Cebidae
Source: RefSeq, a predicted model, not a curated record
GAAUGUAAAUUCCUUUCACAUUUAUUGUAAAGCAGAUCUAAUGGCAACAAAUUCUCUCAGUGUUUUGUUUUUUUUUUUUUGUCUCAGAAAGUCCUUAGUUGACUUCACUCCUUUUUUUUUUAAUCUGCUUGUGUGGUUUCUGGGGAGAAGCCAGAUAUAAUUUUCAUCCUUGCUUUUGUAUAGGUAAGAUUUUUUUCUCCUUUAAAUAUUUUUUCUUUAUUUUUGAUUUUCUGCAGUUUGAAUAUGACACAUCUGCAUAUAGGAGGGUUUUUUGUUUGUUUGUUUUUGUUUGUUGUUGUUUUGAUAUUUAUCCUGCUUGGAGUUCUGUUCCUGGAUUUUUGGUGUCUGACAUUAAUUCAGGGAUAAUUAUUGCUUCAAAAUUGGUUCCUUUCUCUUUUUCUUCUCUUCUGGUAUUCCUGUUACAUAUAUUUUAUGUCUUUUGUUGCUGUCUAAUGGAUUUUCACAAAGUCCAGUCUACUAAUAUGCCCAUCAAAGGCAUUCCUCAUUUCUGUUAUUGCAUUUUUGAUUUUUUCUUAUAAUUUCCAUCUAUCUGCUUAUAUUGCCCAACUUUUAUUGCAUGCUGUCUUCUUUAUUAGAACACUAGCAUAUUAAUCAUAAUUGUUUUAAAUCCCUGGCCUCAUAAUUCUAACAUCUCUGCCAUGUCUGAAUCUGGUUCUGAUUCUUUCUUUGUCUCUUCAGACUCUAUUUUUUGCCUUUUAGUAUGCCUUGUAAUUUUUUCUUGAUAGCCAGACAUGAUGUGCUAGGUAAAAGGAACUAUUGUAAAUAGUUCUAGUGAUGUGGUGAGGUGUGGGUGGAGGGGAAGUGUUUUGUAGGUCUAUGAUUUGGUCUCAGUCGCCUAGUGAGCUGUGCCUCUGGACUGUGAGCUUCACAAGUGCUUCUUAGAGGCCCUCUCCCCUUAUUUGGGACACGAUGGCUAGAAUGGACUGGAGUUGGGCAUUUCUAUUCUCCUAGGUUAGCUACACUCUGAAAAAACUCCAAUUGUUUAGGCUCUAGUAAAAUAGUUUCUCUUCAGGGCAGGCCUUGUUAAGAACAAAGUGUAUUUCAAAAUGGUUCCUUUUCCCCUUUCAUUGUUGAAACAUCAGGAGAUUAAAAAUAUUAUUGUGAGAACCUGGUUGAGCUCUUAGAGGUAAAGCUCAUAAGAGUGUAGGGUCUCCCCUAUGACUGGGUCCCCUGGGAACUUUUUAACUCUUAGUGUCCACACUGAGCCUCCAGCAGUUUAUCAAUUACAGUUCAGGUGUUCCUGUCCUGGCACUGAUUCUUGAGGUUUCUGCUUGUGGACUUCUACUAUAGCAAGUUAUACUUAUAUUCUCCUUUCCGUCUCUUUCAUUUUAGAAGCAGCAGUUUGCCCUUUGAUCAUGCUUCCUUAAGAAAAGUUGUUGAUUUUUUAGUUUAUUCAGAUUUUUACUUGUUAGGAUGGAGUGAUGACUUCUAAGUUUUUUUUUUUUUUUUUUUUGAGAUGGAGUUUCGCUCUUGUUACCCAGGCUGGAGUGCAAUGGCGCAAUCUCGGCUCACCACAACCUCUGCCUCCUGGGUUCAGGCAAUUCUCCUGCCUCAGCCUCCUGAGUAGCUGGGAUUACAGGCACGUGCCACCAUGCCCAGCUAAUUUUUUGUAUUUUUAGUAGAGAUGGGGUUUCACCAUGUUAACCAGUAUGGUCUCGAUCUCUUGACCUCGUGAUCCACCCGCCUCAGCCUCCCAUGACUUCUAAGUUUUUAACAGGGAUAACUUCUGGUUAUUACUUUCAAUAGGAAUCAUGGCCAUUUACACAUUCACGAACCUUCAGGCCAAGACUUUUAAGAAGUGGGCAUUCCUUUUUCACUCUUUUUCUUCUUGUAUCUACCAGUUGAAUUUUAAAGAAGUCAGCCUGGAUCUCAGAGUGACUACAUAGAAUACAUCAAUCCCACCCCCAUUCUGGUAUUACCAAGAUCCAUUUUAGCUUUUACAAGAUUAAGUAAUAAGCUGUCAUUGUGCUAAUCAUUGAGAUUUGGGGGUUUGUCUGUUACAGUGGCUAGUGUGUUAUGUGAACUAGCAUUGCUUAGGAAUACUCCCUGGGGAUCUCCGUUUCUUUACUUACCGUGGAUGUUACGGCAGAUAUUGCAGACUGGCUCACUCACUUCCAUUCUAAACCUUUUGUAGUAUGCAAGGUAAAUUGUAGGAAGGCAAAAAUAUUUCCUUAUUUCCCCAGAUAUCCAUUUUUAGUUCAGGUUUCACAGAAGACAGAUUUUGCCAAGCAGAUGUACUUGUGUGAAAUUUGGGAAACUGCAAUGAACAUAGUGAGAUGGAGGUUGUGCUUUCACUAUUACUACUGUUCUUCUGGCAAGCAUGUUUGUGAAAUUGAAAGUGGUAGAAAACCCACCUACAGUGGUGUAAGCAAAUAGAAGCCUAUUUUUUUUUUUCAGAUAGCAAGAAGUCUGGAUGUAGGCAAUCACUGGAUUUGUUCGUGAGGUUACCAAUAUCAGGAUCCACGAGGGUCAGUAUCUGUGCAGUUUUUUCAGAUUUUCCUUCAUGGUUAUAAGACCAUUGUUGGGGCUGCUUUAUUCAAGGCAAACAAACAAACAAACAAAAUAAAAACAGUGGAAAAGGGGAACAGUAACAUCAGCUAUGUCUGCCUCUUUUAUCAGAAGACAGGUUUUCCCAGAAACCCUCAAAACAGCUUUACCCAAGGUCUCGCUGUCCAAAUUUGGGUAUGUUACCACCUGAAAAUUAGGAUUCUACUGGCAAGGAAAAAGGAGGGUAAGUUAUGGGAGUGUCAUAAUGCACAGAAUUUAUAGUCUCUGCCCUCAAGAAUCUAAUGAUGGCUUGCAGAGUAAACCAUAUGCAUUGAUAUUUGAAUAAUAGUAUGAGACUUAAGAAAAAAUAUAAGGCAAAAAUAGCAUAAGUGACAGAGCAGACAUUUUAGAGGAGAUGGACACUUUAGCAUUCAAAUGCAGCCUAUCUCCCAUUUUAAGAAGGACUGACGUGAAGGGAUUGUGUGUUUUAGUUGGACACUGCAGGCAGCUUCUUGCUUCCUGCGCUGUGUUAUGCUGAUGUCACCUGCCAGAAUAGAAGAGUGUUCUGCGAGAAUGUCCAAAUGAAGUGCCUUCUACAGGUUGAUGGGCAGGGAGUGGUGAAUUUAGCCUGGUCCUGGGUGGAUGAAAGGGUAUUGUAGGAAUUGAGGAAAGACUCCAGACACAAGUCUAGAAGUUUAUUUUGUGAGUAGAAUGUUUCUCUGGAUGCUGGAAACAAUAAAACUGACCACUUGCCUGUAAUUAGCCUGGGCCCUGUAAGUCACCCAGACACAAUACCAAGCUCUAAAAUUGCCUUCAGAGUAAGGGGUCAGCACCCUGGAGUUACCGACACUUGCUUUUUUGGCACCAGAUUUAUUGACAUUGAUGAUCCCAAUCCCUUAUGGAGUUCCCUGGACUGUUUAGAUAAUGAAUUUGCCUUAUGACCGCAGUGCUCCUGCUAAUGAGGAAUGAGUGUUUUCUCUAAGAUUUUAUUUUAAUGUGGUGGCUCGUGUGAUAUUGAUCCCCAGAUCAUUUGCUGUUCAAGCUCAGCUUUAAUUUUCUCAAUAACACGGUUCAGCAAUCCGUUGGGAUGCUGGUUUAAACAAGGAUAGAGGCACUCCCAUAUCCCUAGGGCCCUCAUUGUGCCUCAGGUCAAAUUCCAGCUGCCAGUAUAUGCAUCUCUUGCCUGAGGGCUUUCUUUGAAAUUAUGGGAGAACUCUGCCCACUCUGCAGGCCGGAAGUGUCAGAAGAUUAAUGUCACCUCUCCUCUGGAGUAGCUCUCAGCCAAAGAUUGAUGGGAUUUGAUGGCUCCUCUAGUGGGAGAACUCUAAGGCUUGUAUUCUCCACUUUUCCCAGAGUGUCUUCCUGGCAUUAAGCUACAGCAGCCCACGGUGGUUGCUGGGUUACUAAUACAUCCUUGAUUGAAGAUGCCCCUUCCCAGUUUUACUUUCCCCUGCUCUUCUCCACUGAUUUCCUCUGAGCAGGCUCACGCUUCAAGCAAGGAACGACAAUGUUAUUAAUUGACUCUGAAAAAGUAAAAGCCCUGGCAACCUCAAGAAGACCAAAGAAAAGAAACAUGGCUAUUUCCAAGUUUUAUCGUCAACGGAGGGAAGGUUCCACCCAGAGAGAGUCUGCCAGAGGGAGAAGUGCAAAGGGCUGAUGGGUAACAAGCUAUGAAUGGUAUUAGAAUAAGUAUUAAUAAUUCUGCUCCUUUUGCCACCCAAAUAACAACUUUCACUUAAAUCCUUGUCUUAAAGUCUGCUUCUUAGGGACCCAAGUUAAUUCAUGAAGAUAGCUCAGACUUUUUCUUCUUGCAGACUGUUUUUUUUUAAAUUACAAUCUUCUCUUCUGUGAUGAGCAUCCAGGUGUUUCAGAGGCAACAUAGCCUAAAGUGAGCCCCAGUAUAUUAGUCAUGGGGAAGGACAAUUGAUUGACUUCUCUGAUUGACCCAAAGGAGAAACAUGCCCAAGGGACAAAAUCAGACAAAGGAACAUAUCGUGUUGAUUCCAAACUCUUUGUGGGGACCCCUAGGCCUGGUGAACAAGUUUAUACCAUGCAAUAUCCCUGGACUAUGUUUACAGUAUACACAGGUCACAUGGCCUCUUUGUCUCCUUUACAAAGAACACUCUAAGGUUGAGACCUCUUCAAAGCAGGAAGCAGCCACAGGUCUUUCUUGCCUUCCCAACUCCAGGAGAAAUAAUAUGACAACAUUCUAAAGAGACAAAGUCAAGAGAGACAUGUCCUAGUGGAAGCCCAAACAUGUGUGUAAACUGUUAGCUCAUCACCCCUAAACACUGACUUGACCCAUUUAUAUUUGCUCUCUUUCCUUGGUAUAUACUUGAAGACGGUGACUCUGUUGGUUUGCAAGAGUUGCCAUAACAAAGUACCACAAACUGGGUGCCUUAAAUGACAGAAAUUUAUUGUCUCCCAGUUCAAGAUUAAGCCAUUAACAAGGUGGGUUCCUUCUGAUGGCUGUGAGAGGUCUGUUCUGUCCUAGCUUCUGGUGGUUUGUUGGCAAUCGUUGGUGUUCCUUGGUUUAUAGGUGCAUCUUUAUGUUCUCAUGGUGCUCUCCCAGUGUGUGUGUUUCUGUCCAGAUUUCCGAUUUGCAUAAAGCCACCAGUCAUCAUGGAUUAGGAGCCCACCCUAUUCCAAUAUGACCUUGUCAUAACUUAACUAAUUACGUCCACAAUGACCCUAUUUCUAAAAAAGGUCAUAUUCUGAGAUACUGGAGGUUAAGAUCUCAAUGUAUGAUUUUUGGGGGACACAAUUCAGUACAUAACAGUGACCCAGGCAGGGAGUACAGUAUAAUGGUUAAGAGGUAGGACUUGAAAAUGAAACUGACUUGGUUGAAAUUUUGACUGUACUACUUACUUGCUCAAUGAGCAACCUAUUUAAUCUUUCUGAAUUUUAGUUUCCUCAUCUACACAAUGGAGAUGGUAAUAGCUACCUCAGAGAAUUGUUUAGAGAAUUAAAUUCAGUGGCGAUGGUAAAUGCAGAGUAAGUGAGAAUAAAUAACAAUUCUUCUUACUAUUCAUAGCCCACUGCCCACCAGCCCUUUGCACUUUCUCUCUUGCAGAGUCUAUCUGGGAAGCUCUUUGGGUCAGAGCUCUCUUUUCAUUAUCAAUAAAACUUGGAAAUGGCAGUGUUUCUUCCCCUUAAUUUUCUUGGGGUUACCAGAACUUUUCCAUUUUUAGAGUCAAUUGAUAACAUCAAUGUUUCUCACUUAAUGUGUGAACCUGCUGGGGAAAAGUGGUGCAGGCCCAGAUAGAAGAGAUGGUCUUCUUAAAAAAAAAAAAAAAAUUAAAAAAAAAAAAAAAAUCCCAACAUUUAGUGCUACUCAUCUGUAAGACUGGAUAAUACCAAUACGUUCUUUAUGGGAUUGCUGAGAGGAUUAAAUGAACUAAUUCAUGUAUGUGCCUGGUGCAAUAUUUGGCUUCUUGUAAAUGCUCCAUAAAUAUUAUUAUUAUAAUAUUAUCAUUGUUAGUGGCAGUUCAAAAACAACCAUUUUUCAUAAGGGCACACAGGAAGCAGUAUGGUAGACUAGUUAACUGACAAGAGAAUGCUGCUGGUGACUGCAGAAUUUUCUGGAGAAGCCAGCUGUUUAUUUCCUGCUUUAUUUAGGGCUUUAAAACUUCUUAACAAGGUUGUGGACCUGGAGUCAACAAUGCACUGGGGCUUAGGAUCCCAGUGGAAACACAGAUUUUAAAAUGGUUGCCACUUCUUGCCAUAGCGUGCCUCUGCUUCUCUCUGUGGCCUUGCUCUCUUACUCUCUUCCAAUGACUGGUUUUGUCAUAGCCACCGACUGGACCAAAGUUUUAGAUGUAGCAGGUUCAGUAGCCUGGAGAGAAACCCAUCCCUUUUCCAAAGACAAAAGUCACAUUUUCCCAGGGGAUAAGAUUAAUUAGGCUAAAUUGAGAUGGUGCCUACCUCUGAAUUGGUAACUCAGAGCUAGGGGAACAGGAUAAUGUUACACAAACCGCUCCCAUGGAAACCAUGUGGCUUGAAGAAAUGGGAAGACAAGGUCCGGAAAAGCAGGGACAGUGGUAGGACAGACAGUGUAUAGAUGUCCGGUGUGGCUGGUUUUCCCUGCCGCCUACUAUCUUUGUUUUUUUUUUUUGAGACAGGGUCUCACUCUGUCACCCAGGCUGGAAUACAGUGGCAUAAUCUCAGCUCACUGCAACCUCCGCCUCCUGGGUUCAAAUGAUUCUUCCACCUCAGCCUUUUGAGUAACUGAAACUACAGGUAAACACUACCAUGCCCCACUAAUUUUUGUAUUUUAGUAGAGAUGAGUUUUGCCAUGUUGCCCAGGCUGGUCUCAAGCUCCUGAUCUCAAGUAAUCCACGUGCCUCGGCCUCUCAAAGUGCUGGGAUUUACAGGCACAAGCCACCACAUCUGGCCUCCCGGCCAUCUUCAAGAAAGGAGAUGGAGCCGGCUUCUCUGAAAACUCAUUCAGGAAAGUGGAAUUGAUUACUAACUUGGACAAUACUUCACCUAGCUUGUGGACAUGCCUUCUCCUAAACUCUCUCUGUUUCUCUUUACCUUUCCCAUCGUCCUGCCUGUAGGCAAAGGAAGGCUUGCUGAGGCUUCCAAGUGAAAGGUACUGGCACGUUUUACAAAGACCACUGGACAGUUACAUGAAACACUUUGCUCCUUUGCUGUCCUAAGAGCAAGCACAUUGGUGCUUGGUAGAAGUGUCCUGGGGAGGUAAGCACCGACUCUCAGUGAUGGUGAGGUGUAUUUCAGAACCCAAGCUUCUGUCAGAGAGCAUGUAGAUUUUGUUAUUUCAGUAUUAGCAGCUUAUUCUCCGUGGAUUUUGUCGCGUAAAUAUCAGGAGGGAGUGUUUUCCCGACUGACACCUUAGAAGCACUCUUUGUGGCAAAGUCACAAACGUUUCCAGAUCUUGCUGGGCCUGGAGAUGGCUGCACCACUGGAGAUGAUCUGUUGGUGUCACUUGACACAGUGUGAGAGGUCAGGCAGGAGUGAAGAGUGUUGUCUGCAUACAAAGUGGAAACAUUAUCUGCUCUGUGGGGAGGCCCAUCAUGCUCAGCCUGUUCAGGAGGGAGACUGACACAUGUGGGCCAUUCCGCGGAGCCUUUUCUCUGUCACAGUCCAAAGAAGCCUGACACUUUCAGAGGAAAAUGACACUGAAAGCACUCAGGCAGAGGAGGAGCAAGCAUGACCAUACUUUCUGGACAGCCCUGCUUCAUGCACUCAUGCCAGUCAUUGUUUUGUCCACCUUAGCUAAUCCAUUUCUAAUUUUUUGUUCCUUAAAAAAAAGAACAAAAGUCAACCAUCAUUUACUGAGUUAUUUUUUAAGAAACUUUUAGGUGGAAGUUUACAUGUGCAGGUUUAUUAUAUAGGUAAACUGCGUGUCAUGGGGUUUUCAUCACCCAAAUAAUAAGCAUAAUACCCAAUAGGUAUAAUACGCAAUAGGUAUGUAUUGUUUACUGAAUUUUCACUGUGUGCUAGGACUGUGGCGUGCUGAAGAUGGCUUGGACAGGCUUAUGAGAGCUUCAUUGUUUCAUUUGCAGGAAUUUUGCAAGAUGUUAAACACAGCCAUUAUUAAAAUUCAAUUAUAUUAUCUUAUCCUUAAAAACAAACACAAUACAUUCAGCUUAUCAUAUUCUAGUUAUUUUACUCUUAUUUAUGCUCUUGAAGUUAUUCAUGUCUGUUGUGUCUGUAUGUUGGAGCUGCUGAAGGAUAACUUGCACUGUGCCUCUCCUGUCACUUUGGUGGCUUGAAAUUGUUCGUGUUGUGAGUAUUUACACCACAGAAAUCAGCAAAUGCUACAAACUCAAGCUUGGUCUAUUGUUUUGUUGAUGGUUUGGACUUAAAAAACGAUGGAGAAAAUGUCAAUAAUGAAAAGUAAUAGCAAAAACCGCAAUAAUUUGCACCAACCUAAUAUGAACAGCACAAAAAUUUGAGAAAAUAUUCUUUUGGUAUUUAAGACUAUUACCUAAUUCAGCAAACUAGUUGUAGUUACUCAUGUCGUUGACUAGUGAGUGAAGUUCUGAUAUACAUUUUUGUCUCACUUUUAUCUUAUUAAUGUGAAUGAAAGGAUCAACAUAUCUCUCACAGAUACAUUCGUCAGUUGCAGCUGUAGAUUGGCUAUGGAUACAAGAGUUCAGCAAAAUCAUUCAAAGCAUUUUGUGAGACUUAAUUGGCUAAAUGGAAUUUGCAAUAAUGAGUGUUAUAUAUUUCAUUAUUUUUUAUAAAUCGUGUACACAUUCUAUCAGUAUAAUUUACAGAAGUAUAUAUUCAUUUGCACAUAUUUUAGGAGGGAGGGCCAGUUGUAACUAUUAGCUAUUAUUUACUCUGCCAUGAAUAUACUUCCCUCUUUAUCUCACCCUCCAAGACCGAGUUCGGGGAUGAAUCUAUCCCUUCUUUGGGGUCCUUUGUCACAGCCCUUCUUCACAAUGCAUUAGGGUUCUGUGAAUUUUCCUCUACUUCCUAGAACAAACACAGUGGAAGGACAAGGGCUUUGAACAACUCAGUUCUGAACAUCUGGAGCUGAGUUCCAUGUUUGGUACAUAGGAGGUACCCAACAGGUGUUGGUUAAAAGAAACAGUAAGAGUCUUGAAGGCAGUGGGUGGGGAAGAGAAAAAGAAAAGAAGGAAGUCACUUACUUAGAAAAGGCUCAAUAGUCAAUACUGUGCAUCAUCUUUUAAAAUUUAAAUUUUCUUAGGGUUCCUAAAGGUCUAUGUAAAAUACAGUAAGCUUUGAUUUCCAAAACCACAACCUACAAAAGCCCUUGAUGGAGUAGAUUUGUCUGGGGGUUCCAUAUGUUUAGAGGAACAAGACAAGUCAAUUAUAUCAUUAUAAUUGGUAAUUAUAUCAUUAUAACUGGUAAUUAUGUCAUUCCCUGUAUUUGAUGUGUGUCUUGAGUGAUGCACAGUGGCCAGUCCUUCCUGUUCCCUUUAUAAUGUUCAUUGAGUCCUUCCUUGAAUGUGGCAGGCCCUGGAUUUUCCAUGCAUCGUGUGUGAGGGAACUGACAAUGGAACAUCAGAAGCCCAGGAGAACUUACAGCCCAUGCAUCCUCCCACUCCAAGAUCCUCCCAUGUGCCUUGACUGCAGGCUCCUCCCCAUACCCUUUUGGAGGGACCUGGAUACCAGCCCUCUUAGUCAAGAAGUAUUUGCAGUCUUUAAAAUCCAGUCAUUAUUGAUGGGCUGGCUGAGUUUCUUGUUCAAAAAGUGCACAGUCACCCAUCUCCCUAAAAUACACAUCCAGCCAAGGGUCAGGUUUCCCUCAGCCGCCAGCCACUUCUCUAAGAUGAGCAGUUGCCAACAAGCAAGCCUGGAAGCAAGCAAACGGUUUUCCUUUCUCCACCUCCAUCCCGUCAGUCAGAACCCCAAAGAAAGGUCAGCUGGAACCCGUCCAGCCUCCAGCCACAGCCCAGCACAGGGUAGACAUGUCAAACAAAACAGGAAAAAUUAUUUACCUUUCCCUUGUCCUUUCCCUCAAGUUUUAAUUUUAUUUGCCAUCGACUCAAGAGAGCCCACAAUAAGAAAAGGAAAUCAAGCCUAGAUCAUUGUCUCUUUCCUGGACUGUUGAACUAGACUCUGCUUUUGUCCUUGCCCCAUGCAAAUCUAUUCUUAAUUCAGAGGCUAGAGGGAUCCUGUUAAAAAGUAAAUCAGAAUAUGUCAUUCUUUUGCUCAGAACUCUCCAGUGGCUCUCCCGUAAUCAGAGGUAAAGCCAAAGCCUGCCAGUGUCUAAAGGCUCUACAUGAUGAGCUUCUACCCCCCCGGCCCUUUAUGUAUCUGAUUUCCUACUAUUCACUCCCUCCCUCCGUCCUCAACAGAUGCAAUAACCUUGUUGUUCCUUGAACUUAUCAAACACGUCUCACCUCAAGGCCUUUCCCCUCAUUGUUUCAUCUGCCAACCAUACUCUCCCCCAGAUAUCCAUGUGGCUCAUUCCCUCACCUCCUUCAUGUCUGUGCAAGCAUGACCUUCUCCAUGUCUGUGCAAGCAUGACCUUCUCACGUAUGGUGCUAUGCAGUGCUGCAACUGCCUUCUUCCUCUCUCUUGCUGUUCCUUCUCACCCUGUUCUAUUCUUUUCAUAGAAUGUAUCAUCUUCUAGCAUAACAUAUAAUUUAUAUAUUUAUUAUAUUUAUAGUUUGUCCCUCCCAAGUAGAAAUGUAAGCAGUAAGAGGACAUACAUUUUUGUCUUUUGUGCCUGUUUUGUCUGGAAUAGUGCAUGGCACAUAAUAGGAGCUCAAAUAUUUGUUGAAUGAAGUGUACUCCAUUUAAGACAAGGAAUCUGAGGCUGACUCUAAGUCACAAAUAUUAUUGAGGCAUUUGGGAGUAGACACCAGUUUCCUCCAUGCUAGAAGCCACAUUUGUCACCUAAUCCUUGCUUCCCUUUCGUUGACGACUGGACUCAGUGGGGAAAGUUCCAGGGAGUCCACUGUAGAGCUGAGUAGGCAGAUAGUGUUGGGAUUUUCUGAAUUUACUUUUUCAUCAAGGUCAAAAAAGCCAUGUGGAAACUCUAAAAUGUGGUUUUUCAGUUAAUGCAUUUUAUUGAAAAUGCACUUUUGUUUGAAUGAUAUUAUAUUAAUGUGUCAAAACUUACAGAAUAACUCUCAAGCAAGGAAUUGUUGGUGGUGGUAGUGGAGACAGGGAGAGGGAGGUGCAGUUGAGGAGAAGGAAUAUAGAAACAUUGGCUUAUUCAUGUGAGCUGCUAUUAAGAAAGCCAGUGCCCCCUUCAUAACAGGGAGCUCUGGGAAACCAAAUAGAAAACUCCUUUUUUAAAAAGAGACAGAUUAACUGAGUCAUUAUCUCUGAAUUCCCUUUCUGUUGCUUCUCACUCAGACUGCUGAUGAUUUUAUUUUUAAUUUAUCUAAGGGGGUUAUGAGUCAUUAUCGAGAUUAGUUUCCAUCAGGUUCUCUAUCACGAAACACUACAGUAACCUGCAGUACUUACCUGCUGCAUAAUAAAUUACCCCACAACUUAUUUGGUUAAGACAACAACCAUUUAAUUUGCCUGCAGUUCCAUGGGUCAGGACUUCAGAAUCCAUUUAGUUGGCUUAUAAUUGUGUAGGUUACAAAUUCAGGGCUUGGCUGGGUGGUCUUCCUGUUGCAGGUGGUGUCAGCUGGGAUCAUUUAUUUGGCUGCGUUCAGUUGGUGGCUGGGCUCAGCUCUGAGUCUGGCCUAUUGCACAUCUCUGGUGCCUCUGCAUUCUUGUGUCCCUCCAUCUGGCUUUGCUUUCUCCAGGGACUUGGUCUCCCUCACAGCAUGGUGGUGUAAGGUUCAGCCAUGGAACUUGCACAGCAGUAACACUUUUCCCAUAUUCGAUUGGUCAAAAUGGGACCAGAGCCAGCCUAUAUUCAAGCGGAGGGGAUUCUACCUCUCAUUGAAAGGCGGGGCAAAGAAUUGAUGACUGUAUUUAAUCCAUUACAUAAUCAAAUACAGGCGGUCAGUCUCCAACUAGGGUUGUGCUUUAUCUCACUUCUCUACUUAAUAAAAGAUGUAAAUAAAAAGUGUAAAAAAAGUUACAUUCAAGGAUCCUUGAGCAUAUAAGUGCCCCAAAUAUGCACCUUACUAUUUAUAAAUGCUCCCACUUAGUCAAGCAUUCACUUUACGAAUUUCUCUGCCUCCAACUCUGUUCCUGAAAAGGUAUUAUUUCUGCUUGGAGCCAGUCUGUCUUGCCACAGAAGUUGCUCCCCAAAUUCUAGGUUCUCAUCGUCAUAAAUCCCUUACAGUCAAACUUCCCCUAUCCCCAUUGUUUCUGCUUCUUCUGGGAGCUUGGAGCCCUGGUACAUCUUUUAAAAUGCUCUAAUUAUUAUAGAUGCAAAGAAAGAGAAAAUCUGGUUCCCACUGAGUAGCUCCUGUGGACUCUUAUUGUGGCAUGGAGUUUUGUUUCCUGUAGAAAACUUAGAUUUGCCAAGUCAUAAAUCUGGGUAAGCCAAGUAGCAAUUCAUUGUAAGAUGGAAAAGGUACAAUUGGAACUGAGCCCAAGCAAGACUAGAGAGCAUGAGAAGCUGCAUACACAGGGGGGCAAGGGUCCCCAUGUCGCCUGUCACAACUGCAUCAACACCCCUCCCUCAGCUCACAUCUGUGGCCAUACAUGGGAUCCCAUAGGACCAGCUAAGGAAAAGAAAAAAGCCUUAGCUUGGGGGUAUAUUUAGGUUGGCUCAGUAUAAAAAUACAGACUGAAAAUGAGUAGCUACUAUAUUAACCACCACACUCAGGGGAGGCUCUAAAAAAAGUAGAGAAGAAAAAUCUUGUUGAUGGGUGGAGCUGCAAGUAAUGCAUCUGGUCAUCUACUUUGCAUGGAAAGACAGGUGGCCAAGAUAAGAACAUAUGUAUACUCAUGGAAAAUGGCCAAUGAUUUAAUGGACCGGUUAGAGGUCUAGAAGAAAAUGCGCACUUGGAGAUGAGAUCUGGAGUAGAGGCAUGUGAACAGACCUGUGGAGAUGGACAGAAAAUGUAAAGAUUUUUGUGUAACAUGUUAAUGCCCAUUAUAAAGCAUCUAUCACAGAAAAGACAUUGGAUAUCUAAAUAGACAACAUGCUCAGCCAGUUUACAUUAGGCAGCAUUCAUCACUGGCUUCCCCAGAACUGGAAUGAUAGAUUGUCAAAUGGAUCCAUGAAGAGAGUGGUCAUGGUAGCAGAGACAGAGGUCCCACCUGAACGUAACCGCAUGGACUACCACUUAAAAAGACUGACAUAGCUCUUGCCCCUUCUGAAUGUCUAACCUGCCAGUACCAGAGACCCAUGCUGAGCCCCAAAUAUGGCACUACUCUUUGGAGACCAGUUGAUCACUUGGUGGCAAUUUCUUCUCAUAACAGUAGACACCUAUUUCAGGUGUCUGCCUUUCAUGCCUGCAGAGCCUCAGCCAGCACAUUAUCCAGCGGCUUAUGGAGAAACUGACCCACAGGCAUGGGAUCCCACAACAUGUAGUAUCUGAUCAGCUCCUUCACCGUGAAGGAGCUGCAGCAGUGGGCCCAUGAUCAUGAGCUCCAUUUGUUGUAUCACUUAACAAAAGGCCCAGAAGCUGCCACUUGAUAGAGCAUUGAAAGUUCUGGUGGAGCUUAAGGCAAGACUCUGUGAGAAUGGGGUGUGGGUGCCUUCCUCCAAGACAUGAUUUAAGCACUGAAUCAGAGACUCCUACAUGACUCUGUGUCCCCUGUAGGAAAAAUACAUGGAUAGUCAAGGGGUAGAAGCAGGAGUGGUCCUAAGUAGCAUCAAUCCCAGUGACCUAUUGUGUGGCUUUAUGCUUCCCUAUCCCAAAACACUGGGCUCUGCAGUGUGAGUGGUACUGGUCCCAAAAGUAGAACACUCCAGAAGAUAUAUGAAAGGAGAACUGAACUACACACUAAAAUACAGGCAUUUUUGAGUUCCUUGUGUUUAGGGACCAAUAGACAAGAAAAGGAGUCACUGUGUUGGCAGGGCUAACUGACUUAAUAAAAAAGAGGAGGUAGGGCUAUGUUAUACAAUGGGGGCAGGGAAAUAUAUAUAGAAGCGAGGUAGUAUCCCCUGCUGAAUUAUGAUUAUAGCAGUACAAGUGCGGCUAGCCCAGCUUCAUAAGAGUGUGAUUACCAGGAACUCAGACUCCUCAAGAGUGAGGAUUUCAUUCAUGUUACCAGGUGAGUCACCCAGGCCAGCUAGAGUAGUAGCUGAGAAUGAGAGGGGUUAAGGAUGGAUAGUGGACAAAGGAGUUGAUGAAUACUAGCUGUGACUCCAGGACCAACAGGGAGUGGGCUGCUGGACUGUAGAUCAUCCCAUGAACCUCCCUCUUCUAAGUUUUCCCUUAAGAAGCGAGACCCUUUGGAACCCAGAAGAGCUGCUCUGUAAACAUGUAGGAAAGUGGAAUCACGUGGCACAAGGGAGCACUGUGGCAGUCAUGGAGGUGUGGUCCCCAGAUCUGCCUUCAUGAAAGAACUUGCCAUCCAGCUGUCUGGAGGUCAGUUAGCUGACAGCCUCCAGCUGUCAGUACCUUCGGGAUUUGCCUCUGUUGAGUCUAGACAACAAUCUUCUUGGAAGGUCCUAGCCAAUGACUAAAUUGGGCAGGAGGUUUUAGGGUCUUGCCAUUUCUGCCCAACAUAGGAAUUCCUGCAAUAGGCAAUCUUAGUUUCCAUUGGGUUAGAGAUGUUGGCAAAUGUGCGCUAUGAUCUGAGACUCCUUCUGCCCAAUUUUGGUUCCUCUCUUCUUUAAGUUCUGCAUCAUAGUCUAAAGACUUUCCUUCCCAAUCUUUCUUUCCUUUUCAAAAUAUUUUCCAGGCAUUACCCUCCAAUAAUUCCCUUGCACUUUUAAACUCUGUCUCAGCGUCUGCUUCCCAAAGACCCAACUUACAUAAUAACCUAGCAACUUUUGGAAUGUAGGUAACUCAGUUUCUUUGAAGCAAGUACUGUUUCUUCAAAUCUAAGGAUUUGGAACACACAGAAUCAAGGAUGUGGAACAAAUGGAAUUGAAGCACAUUACACCACGUAAGUGUGCAAAUUGGUACAACUAGUUCAGAAAAGUAUCUGAGAGUAUUUGCUAAAGCCAAACAUUUGAAUUCCCUAUGACCCAGCCAUUUAAUCCUGGGUCUAUAUCCAUCAGAAGGUUGCUCAUAGCAGCUGAUGCUGUGGACUGAAUUGUGUCCUGAAAUUUGUAUGCUCAAUGUGAUUUGGAGAUGGGACCUUUGAGAAGUAAUCAGGUUUAGGUGAAGUCGUGGGGAUAGGGCCUUCGUGAUGGGACUAGUGUCCUUAUAAAGAGACAGAGAGAGCUUGCUCUCAGUCUCUCUACCCUGUGAGGACACACUGCGAAGGCAGCCAUCUGAAAGCAAGGAAGAGAGCCUUCACCAGAACUCAAUCGUGCUGGCACCCUGCUCUUGAACUUCUAGCUUCCAGAACAAUGAAAAAUAAAUUUCUGUUGUUCAAGCUACCCAAUCUAUGGUAUUUUGUUAUGGUAGCCAAAGCUGACUACAACACAGCACUAUUCAUGAGACAGUUGACCCCUGAACAACAUGGGGGUUAGAAGUGCCGACCCCCCACCUGGUUCAAAAUCCAUGUAUAACCUUUGAUUCCCCAGAACAGAGCUACUAAUAGCCUACUGUUGGCCAGAAGCCUUAUCAACAACAUAGUCGAUUCACUCAUAUUUUGUAUGUUGUGGGUAUCAUAUACAGUAUUCUUACAAUAAAGUAAGCUAGAGGAAAGAGAAUAUUGUUAAGAACAUCAUAAGGAAGAAAAAAAUGGUUCCUAUUUAUUAAAUGGAAGGCCACCAUCAUAAAGGCCUUCAUCUUUAUCAUUCUCUGAGGAUGAGGAGAAAGAAGAGGGAUUGGUCUUGCUGUCUCAGGGGAGGCAAAGGUGGAAGAGUUGGAGAAGGUAGAUGGGAGGCAGGUACGCUCAGUGUAACAUGGGGAAAAAAAGUGAAUCUGUGCAGUUCAAACGUAUAUUUUUCAAGGAUCAACUGUAGUUAAAAAAAAACCGCAAAGUAUCCAAAUGUCUACCAAUAGUAGAAUGGAUAAAUUGUGGUAUAUUCACAGAUCGGAAUAUGUUAAAACAAUCAGAACAAAUGAGCUACAAACAUAUAUGAAAAUGUGGCUGAAUCUCACAUGUAAUGUUGACCCUCCAAAUUAAACCAGACUCAAAAGAGUACAUAUUGUACAACUCCAUUACUAUAAUGUUUUAAUCCAGGAAAAACAAAUCCAUGCUGUGAGGAGCUAGGAGAAUGGUUCUGGAACGUUGUGAUUAAAAGUGGGCAUGAUGAGAUUCCGGGUGCUGCUCGUUUUCUGUUUCUUGAUCUGUGUAUUGAUUACAUGGGGGUUGAGUCUUGAAAGUUUAUUGAUCCACAUGCUUAUGAUAGGUGCACUUUUCUGUAUGCACCAAGUUUAUACUUCAUGAAAAGGUUUAUAGAAAUCUAAGGUUGUCAUUAAUUUUAAGGUACAACUUUAUAUAGGUUGCCAUAUAAGUACUAUGUUUCAUUAAUGUAUAAGAUGCACAUUUUUUUUCACAUUUUAAUAUCCUAAAUAUGGUGAUGUGAAUUAGGAUGGGUGGUGGUCAUAAAGUGGUUGCCAUCAUGAUGUAGUUGUCAUUGCCUGUACAUGUGUGAAUAUCAAGCCUCGAACCUUGAGAAAAGGGUAGGCAUCAGGAGCUAGGAAGAAAAUCUCAGAUUUCUUGUGUUUUCUAAAAUUACUUAUAAUUUUUAUAUUUAUUGAAAAAACUCUGUAGAUAUUAUCAGAAACAAUUUUUUUUCAUAUAGAGCUCUCACACAUAUGGACAAAGAGAAAUAUAAGCAAAGUAAACUGGUUAAGGAUUUCUAAGACUCCUCCACAUUCAGAGUCCUGUUGUUCUGUAAUAACCUCUCCACUGAGUCAUUCAUGUUGUCAUUUCUACAUCAUGUUAUUCUCCUUGCCAUCAGAAGCUUUGGUGACUCAGCAUUUCUUUAAAAAAAAUUCAUAAAAAAACUAAAAGCCACUGGUUCUGGGUUCUUAUUAAGCUGGAUUUUCAGUGAGGUGCUGCCAGUCUUCUGUGGUGGGAGCUAUCAUGUGCCACCCAGAUUCUCCUUCAGCAGUGAAGCACGCAUUCCCUCUGAUGCUGGGAGUGCUGCUGGCAGAGAGCCCUUCCCUGUUAGUCCCCUUUGAAAACUGGCUCAUUUGAAGAGGGCCACCUCAUCUGAGGUUGUGCUUGCUUCCCCAAACUGGCCAGCACAUGGAAUAAAGGCCUGGUUCCUUGUCCCAAAUAGGAACUAGUGGAAAGGAUCAUACCAGCUUCAGAGUUCCCCAUGGGUUGGGCUGAGGCCUUUAUUGUGACUGUGUCACAACUCAGUUUUUUCCUCUUUUUAAUCCUGCUUCCAUCCAUCAGUAGUGAACCUAAGAGCAUCCCCUGAUAAGCCUCUGACAUACAGGGCAAUGAGGCAAGAGAAGGAAAUACAGCGUAUUCAAACAGGAAGAGAGGAAGUCAAAAUGUCUGUUUGCAGACGACAUGGUUGUAUAUUUAGAAAACCCUGUCGUCUCAGCCAAAAAUCUUCUUACGCUGAUAAGCAACUUUAGCAAAGUCUCAGGAUACAAAAUCAAUAUGCAGAAAUCACAAGCAUUCCUAUACACCAAUAAUAGACGAAUAGAGAGCCAAAUCAUGAGUGUACUCCCAUUCACAAUUGCUACAAAGAGAACAAAAUACAUAGGAAUACAACUUACAAGGAAUGUGAAGGACCUCUUCAAGGAGAACUACCAAGCAUGGCUCAAGGAAAUAACUGAGGACACAAACAAAUGGAAAAGCAUUCCAUGCUCAUGAAUAGGAAGAAUCAAUAUUGUGAAAAUGGCCAUACUGCCCAAAGUAAUUUAUAGAUUCAGUGCUAUCCCCAUCAAGCUACCAUCAACUUUCUUCACAGAAUUAGAAAAACUACAUUAAAUUUCAUAUGGAACCAAGAAAGAGCCUGUAUAGUCAAGAGGAUCUUAAGCAAAAGAACAAAGCUGGAGGCAUCAUGCUACCUAACUUCAAACUAUACUACAAGGCUACAGUAACCAAAACAACAUGAUACUGGUACCAAAACAGAGAUAUAGACCAAUGGAACAGAACAGCAGCCUCAGAAGUAAUGCCACACAUCUACAACCAUCUGAUCUCUGACAAACCUGACAGAAACAAGCAAUGGGGAAAGGACUCCCUAUUUAAUAAAUGGUGUUGGGAAAACUGCCUAGCCAUGUCCAGAAAACUGAAACUGGACCCAUUCCUUAAAACGUAUACAAAAAUUAACUCAAGGUGGACUAAAGACUUAAAUGUAAGACCUAAAACUGUAAAAUUCCUAGAAGAAAAACCUAGGCAAUACCAUUCAGGACAUAGGCAUGGGCAAAGACUUCACGAUUAAAACACCAAAAGCAAUGGCAACAAAAGCCAAAGUUGACAAAUGAGAUCUAAUUAAACUGAAGAGCUUCUGCACAGCAAAAGAAAUUAUCAUCAGAGUGAACAGGUAAGAGUAUUCCAUGGUGUAUAUGUACCACAUUUUCUCUGUCCAGUCUAUCACUGAUGGGCAUUUGGGUUGGUCCCAAGUCUUUGCUAUUGUGAACAGUGCUGCAAUAAACAUACAUGUGCAUGUGUCUUAACAGUAGAAUGAUUUCUAGUAUAUACCCAGUAAUGGGACUGCUGGAUCAAAUGGUAUUUCUGGUUUUAGAUCCUUGAGGAAAUCAUUCUACUCUUAAGACACAUGCACAUGUAUGUUUAUUGCAGCACUGUUCACAAUAGCCUAUCUUGUUCUACUACAUUCCUAUUUUGUGGAUUCAUAAAAGACGUUUUGUUAACAAUUUUGUAUGUUUGAACUUUCUAAAUAGUUUCUGACGUAUAUAAAUGACAAAAGAAGCAACUAAACCUAAUUUUGUUUUAACUAGUUUCAUAUUAUAAGUUUUGUCAUGAUGAAAGUUGCCAUUUAUAUCCAGGAAACAUCCCAGUUCUGGCACAUUUCUGCCACAUUUCCUUCUGCCAGCCCCUCAGUUUUGACCUUUGUCAUUUCACACAGAGAUAAGCAUGAUGUACUUUAAUAAUAAAAUAAAAUAAAUCUCUGGCAUAAUUAUAUCCAUUUCAGAGUCUGCUUCCUGGGAAACCCAAUCUGCAACACUUGUUUUUGACUCCUGUAUGGGAAUGUUUUAUUGAUUGCUUCUCUCACCCAUCCCUUCAACAAUUUUAUUCCUAAAGGUAAUGACUGCUUCUCUAGUGCUUUGGAAUUUUAUCCGAAGUUGCUAACACCUGCUCAUUUUGCAAGUUUUGAAGCUGGUACCUUUGACCUUCCAUGUUAAAUAGACAAUGGCUACGACAUCACCACUACAAACUGGCCACCUAAACGCUACUGUAAGAGGCCAUUGUAACUCUCAGCCCCAUUUCAAAGAAAAGGAAAUUAAGUUCCAGAAAGGUGAAGAAGGCAGUGACUGCUGAGAUGUGGAGCCAGGAUCCAACCUGAGCCAUCUGACUCUGGAGCUACUUGAGUCUCUCUAGCCCUGUGACACACUAUAAAAGCCAAAGAAUAUCUUCCAAGAGUUGAUUGCUAAUGUAACAGCACACUGCCAGAUUAAAAUUAUGCUAGCAGAAGUGGUAUGUAUUUCAACUGUAUGUGUGUAUGUAUGUGUGUGGUGGUGGUGGUGGUAUGUGUUUGUGUGCAUGUGUGUGUGGUGUAUGUGUGUGUAUUUUUCAGAAAAAAAUGGGGAGAAAAGCAAAUUAUAGCUCUUAGUUAGAAGAAGAAUAAAUGAGGAUGAGAAAUCUAGCUUGUCUCACAAUUAAUACUAGAUGAGGCAAAAAGGGUUUCCUGUGGCAAAGGGUUUAAAAGAGUUAUCAAACUUAAACAUGUCAUGAAUGUUUCUUUUAUAAACAGAAAAUGUUCCAGGUUUGCUGACCUUUUUUGUGAUGAAAGUGCUGUCAGUAAAAUGUACCCAAAAGAUAUCUGGAAAAAAUAAAUACACUUGUCUUUUCAAGGCAAAGGGUAUGUUGUAACAGCAGGAACAACAGCCUUUUAAAAUAAACUCAUGCUUUGGGGAGAGUAUACUGAAAAUGGAGAGUGAAAGCGUCUCCGGAGUUAUAUGAUUUUGAGGAUGAAAAUGACGUAAGCAGGCCAUCUAUAAAACUAACGUAUCUGUUUACUUUAAAAACUUGGAAACAGGAUGUGCUAAUCUUUUGAAAAAUCUUCUAAAGUAAACUAGUUUGUUAGUAAUGUGAAAAGAUAAAAGCUUCUAAUUAUCUUGUAAGAACAACUGAUUGACAUCAGGAAAAAUGGAAAUUAUUAGCUGAAUUUUAACAAAGACCUUUGCAAGAUUGGUGAAUGGGGCUGAAAAUGAUUUUCACUAUUUGUAGGCAUAGGCCAUGAAGUACUUCUUUCAUUUGCUAUCUAUGCAUAUCAGUGAAGCCCCUUUUCAGUUAUUUCAAAACCGAGUACUGGAAUAAUCUGAAUUUAGACCUAGAACUGCACACAGCAACAUCACAGUGUUAAAUGAAGAUUAUUUUAAAACAUGCAUAUUUACCUUUGCUAAAACACAUUUUUUAAAAAGUGAGGACACAAAUAUGCUGUGCCCUAAUAAUUAAAAUGAACAUUAAGACGUUUUUAGGAUAGGUUCAUGGGGCACAUUUGCAGGUUGAUUACAAAGGUAUCUUGCAUGAUGCUGAGGUUUGGAGUAGGAUUGAACCUGUCACCCAGGUAGUGUGCAUAGUACCCAGUAGGAUAUUUUUCAACCCUUGCCCUCCCUGCCCUCAUCUUGUAUUUCUCAGUGUCUGUUGUAAAGCCUGUUCUGAAAAACAGUUUAUUAGAUAUUUGUAUUUUCCUUUUAAAAUUCCAAAGUGUAGAAUUUGGGCUGGCAGCAUUGGGAUCACCUGGGAGCUUAUUAGGAAUGCAGAGUCUCAAGCCCCACCCUCACCUUAUUGCUUUGAGUUAAAUGGAGGAAUCCUCAGCGUGGAUGAGUUUUGCCAUAAGUACAAUCAGGAGAUGACAGAGCUACUUUGCUCUUUGCUGGGUAGGUAGGUGAUAGGGUUGAGAUUUUGAAGACUAGAGUAAUUCUUGACAUUUCAAAGUAUGUUUAUAAUAAAAUAGACUUUCUGGGAGUAGAUGAAGCCAUUACAUGGUGUAAUUCCCAACCCUACCUUUAUGAUAGCACCAAAUAGGAUAAUUCUGCAAUAAUACUAGCUAAUAUAGAAGACUUAUAUGUGCCAGGCAUUGUCCUAAGUUCUUCUUAGAGAAGAAUUUGGACCUAGUCAGUAUAGCUCUAGAGCAUAUGAAUUAACCAUGAUACCACACUGCCUGGGUAUCAGAUGUAUAAAGGAAUAGAUACCCACAAAUUAGGCAUGCAUCUACAGAGUUUUUUUUUGAUGAGGAACAUGAUUUAAAAAAAGUUGGGGGAUACUAGGCAACCAGCUCAAAUGCUACUGUGACAUAAAAAGCCUUUUCGAAUCUGGCCCAACCAAUGUCUCUGACCCCACUUCUUGCUCUGCCCCCUUGAAACCUGUGCUUUGAAUUCCUCCAUCUUGAACUGGCAUCCUGGCAGUUCCCUGAAUUCUUGAUGCUUUAUUCCAUCCCUGACUCCUAUCUCUCCUUCAGAAUUCAGCCUGGGUACUGCCUGCCCAUCCUAUUUAAUAUCUGCCCUUCCCCCACAAGGCCAGUCCCGACAUCCUUUGUACACUGUCAGCAUUGUCUGCAUACUCUGCAUGACACUUGUCCCACUAUUUUCUAAUCAUCUAUUCACUUGCUUGUCUACCACCCUUGAGGGCAGCGCUUUAUCUUGCUUCUUUGUGUAUGUCCUCACCCAGAGCCUGGCACAUAUUAGGAGCUGUUUGCAUGAAUGAAGGAUUGAUGAAAGAGAAAGCAACCAUUGCCCUAGGAGUUGUUCUAGGAUCUGUUAUUUGUGUAACGGCCACCAGAGGGGGGCAGACGAACAUGGUCCAGUGCACAGCACACAUCUAGAACUCCAGGUAGAUCAUUCAAAUACUUAUUCUAGGACUGGAAGGGAAGCUCACUGGUCAUGUAGAACAUUCUUCUGUUUUAGACAAAAAUUAAACCCUUUCAGGUAAGCAAAGUAAUAUUUAAAGUUUUUAAGUCAAAAAGAAUUGUUUGCAUCUACACAGACUUUAAAUCUGAAGAGUUGGAUUCUGGUUCCAAUUCUAACAUUAUUUAGCUUGUCUGAUCUCAGAUGAGACCCUUGGAUUUUGGAGACUUAGUUUCUGAAUCUGACAAAUGGGCAACAUACUCAUUUGGACUACCUCCCAGGAGUGUUUUGAGACCCACAGGUAAUAAUGCACAUGAGCACCCUAAAAAUGACAAGGUAACAGAGUAUAAUAAAAAUCAAUGGGUAAAUAAAAAUAAUUUCAAUCUCCCUUGUUCAAAAUUAGCUUUUCUGAAAUGUGAGUUGAAAGGCAAAGUAUGAACACGGAGUUGCAAUGGGCAUGGACUUGAGAGCAUAGAUGCAUCGAGAUUUUAAGCUGUGUAUUGUUUGGACCAUUUUAUUCAUUCGGCUCCUGCUUGACCACGUCAGCUCCACUGCCAGAGGCCAGCUAAUCCCUCUGCAUCUAGCAUCAUCUAUGCCUGGAUAAUUAACAUACCUCACCACACAUGUAUAUUUUUUCUUUCUUUUGUAAAUGUGCAUGAAUGCUAUUACAAUAAAUAAAACACAAAUUCAUAGAAAAAUUUUCCUGAGUUUCCAGUCACAUUUACGAUAAUGUAUUUUUUCUUCAGAUGGGGUCUGGCUCUGUAGCCCAGGCUGGAGUGCAAUGGCACAAUCACAGUUCAUUGCAAUCUCAAACUCCUGGGCUCAAACAAUCCUUCUGCCACAGCUUCCUGAGUACCUGGGACUACAGGUGUGCACCACCAUGUCCAGCUAAUUUUUACAUUUUUUUUGUAGAAAUGGGUGUCUCACUGUGUUGUCCAGGCUGUUCUCCAGCUCCUGGUCUCAAGCAAUCCUCCCACCUCAGCCUCCCAAAGUGCUGGGAUUGUACGAAUGAGCCACUGCAUCUGGACCCAUAAUGUAUUUUAAAAAAUCAACAUAUAUUUUAAAACAUAUUUAGGAUUGAGUUGCAUUAUAUGCAUACUGAACCUAUGCAAACAUGACUCUGUGGGUUUAGCAAAACAAAGAAAAAGAAAAAAGAAAUUCUCGCAAACAGCAAAACAAAAAUUAAACCCACGAUCUUUUAAUAGAGUUGGUGAUUUGGUUCCAUGAAGGGAUGGCGGCCCAGACUGAGCAGGGACUAGUGGAUGUGACUGCUUCCCCUCAGUGGGUUUCAGCUCUUACCAACACCUCUCAUAAUAGAGUGUAGCUCUGUAUUUGUCAGUAAUUUAAGAAGUUUUUUUUUUGUUUUGUUUUGUUUUGAGACAGAGUUUUCGUUCUUGUUACCCAGGCUGGAGUGCAAUGGCACAAUCUCCGCAACCUCCGCCUCCUGGGUUCAGGCAAUUCUCCUGCCUCAGCCUCCUGAGUAGCUGGGAUUACAGGCAUGCGCCACCAUGCCCAGCUAUUUUUUUUUUUUUUUUUUUUUUUGUAUUUUUAGUAGAGACGGGGUUUCACCACGUUGACCAGGAUGGUCUCGAUGUCUUGACCUCGUGAUCCACCCGCCUCGGCCUCCCAAAGUGCUGGGAUUACAGACUUGAGCCACCGCGCCCGGCUAAGCAGUUUUAAAGGGAAAGUUUUACAUGAGCAAUCAUUUUGCCUUAUAUUUUUCUUUUGAAGCCAGCUCACCAUAGAAGAUGCUAUUUCACAUGUGAAGGGAACAUGACAUUUUGGGGAACAAAAUAGGAACCAUCAGUGGAAACGCUGAUCUAGCCUAGAAAAAAGGCUCCCAGUGCCUUCCUAGAAAUUGGGGUAGAGCCCAGACCUCUCACUUUAAGAUCUAUGCUCUUUCUACCCACCACUGUGCAGGUUAACAUGAAUUGCAUUCUGGAGCCUAUCCUCCACCCAGGCCUGGGCGAAUCGGUGAACCCCUAAACUGUGCAUACAGCCGAGGCUUGUCUUUCGGUACAGGCAGUCUAUCCCCACACAGUUUGCACCCCCAGAUCUUUGUUUUUCAGGGUCCUGCCUGGUCAUUAUUUUCAUUGUCUUUCAUGUGCUACCUUUAUAUAGGAAGCAGAAUGUGAGCUGGAAGCGAUUUUCAAGUCAGUUUUGAAUCUCAGUCAGGGCAAUCAGAGGCAUGUGGGAAAAGCUCUCAGAGGCUGGGCAGCCUUCAGAAGGCCACCAGCACGUGAUUUCCUCUUCUCUCUUCCUCCCUCAGUAAUGCGAAGGCCAGAUGCAUCCUAGCCCCCACCACCUCACCCUCUGGCCUAGUUUUUGAGCUUCCUUUUCCUCUUGGGUGAGGCCAUGCUUCCUUGACACUCUGGCCUCUACUCCUUGAAGGCCAGAAGUCACUCCUGGGGCGGAGGAGGACCAGUCCGUCAACAAGAAGGGGAGGGUACUGGGGCGGGGGAGCAGCAACAGCAGCUGGCAGGCCCAGGAUGUGAGCGGGCAGGCCUCAGUGGGCAUUGGGACAGUGGCUUGCUUACCCCUCACCCUCUAAACUCAGGAAGGCUGACUUCUGCCCUCUCCGGCGGGUGAAGUCAUCUCUCUGUGAGGGGAAGUUCAGCACUGAGCUGCCACAACAAACCCUCCAAAUGCCAAAAGAGGUGGCGGAAAUUAGGAUUAUCAUAGCUCCAAAGGUUUACUGACUGUCUUGAAAAUCUGAGUAAGCUUCUCUCAGAGGUGGCGGAAGUUUCCUCCAGCUCCCAUUGCUGGCUGACCCGAGCUUCUGGGGCGGAAUUUCUUUAGACCCCAAGGAAAACUUGCCAACCUUGAAAGCCUGUAGAUACCAGAACAGGCUGUGAAGACAGCGGAGUCUACUUUGGAGGUCUUUUAAAAUAGGAUAACUUGUCUUCACUCUGUAAUGGUCUGGAAUGACAGUCUGUAAAAAAAAAAAAAAAAAAAAAGAAAGGAAAACAUGACAACCACAAAGCUCUUAAUUUGCACCAACUCUUGAUCUGAAGCUGUUGUAGAUUUGCUUCAAGUCCUCACAUUCUUUGAUUUCCUGUACAAUAUUAAACACAUAUUGAAGAUGCUUUGCAGCACCCAGAUACUGGAGCUCCAGCGUAGAGGAAGGAAAUGAAUAUUUGGCAGGAAAAUCCCAGGGACACAACUUUGUUUGGAACAUUAUGUCUACCACACAAAUGGAGGUGAAAAUUCACCUCUGAGGGGCUGAUAGGAGUUUUCCCCAUUAAGUAACCUCUUCCCUCCAUUUAAUUGUGAGGAAGUUUGUAGCCUCUGCAUCCUCUCGCCAGGCUCUGUCCUCGUUUCCUCACCUCUUUUGUAAUCUAGGUUCCAAGACUUCCAGAAGACUCUCUUGAUGGGUCUUUACUCCCCUAUUCCUGCUUUAACAGAGGCACAUGGAGGCAGGAAGUGGGACGAGGAAGGCAGCUGAGAGGCGGUCAGGGGACACUGACCCGAGACUCCCCUUCACUCCCUCUGCCUUCUCCAGCCAUACCCUCAGAUCUGUGUCUAUACUUGGCUGUGUUUUCUGAACCCAAUUAAUGACAUGGGAUCUGACAAGGACAAGUGUACUUAUGGGCAAAGUGGAUGCAGUGUACUUGAGACUGGUUCUGUCCCAGGGAACUGGGAAUCCCAGUGAUGGGUCACACACAGAUCUCCUAACUCAAAAAUCGGGUGCCUGCCAAUUUACUUCUUUAGACCUUGUCUGUGUGGCAAGGAUGUCACAUACAAACAAAUUCAUGUGUAGAUGAGGCCAUGCCAGUCAUGACUUAGGGACAUCAAAUAGUGUGAGAGCUAUUUGAGGAUGUUGGGCAGCCCUGGAAAUGCUAUCUUUGAUAGUGUCCCCACCAUCCCAAUUGCAGUAAAAGGGCCUUCCACCUCCUUGGAAAGUACAUGGGUGCUGCAGUUGACAUCAUAUAAUGUUUAAUGUGCUUAAACAUUUACUGAAUUGUAUUUAUUCUGUUUGAGUGACAGUAUUUUUUUUUUCAGGUCUUAAAUGUUUCUUAGGACAUUCAAAAUUACUCUGCCUGUAGAUCCGGUGGAUAAAAUGUCCUAGGCAUUGAACACUGGCUUUGAGGACUCAACAUGAAAAAUAAAGUAUGCAUACUCCUUUAGCAUAUGCUCUGCAGUCCAAAUGUAAGCAUGACCUUAAAAUGUACUUUUGUGGUGAGGAGAGGACAGUGGUGCUGCUGAGAGAAGGAAGAGUCUCAAAAUUUCCAGCGAAGGGAAAUUACUCCACUCAUCCUGUUUUCCUUGGGAGUGAAUGGAAAGCAAUCAUGUUAAUUAAAGGGGAGCAAAUGUCCUUAGGUUUGCCUUUAUUUGGGGAAUACUUUCUGUUUUACUUUUGGGGAUUCUUCCUAAAAUGUCCCUUUAGGGCUGCUUCCCCAUCGAUAGGGGUCUAUGACUUUGGUGCUAUGGUUCCCUCAUCACAAGUCUUCCACUAUGAAGGUUUCCAGGACCCCCACUGUAGGUGUGAGACUUUCCAUUUGUAAGGAAUGGAGGGGAGUAGUCAGUUGAACUUUGAUGGUGGGCAUUCACAUUCAUGGUAAGGAUACACAAGAAAAGUGAGGAGUGCUGUUUUGUUUCAGCAAGUGCAGUUACCCACUUGACAAACAUUUGUUGAGUCCCGACUGUGUGAUGACCGUGUGGUAGGAGAGAACACGACAGAUAAGGUUCCUGCUUGCAUGGAGCUUGGCUGUUUGAUAGAUAGUAAACAAAGGGCAUAAAUAAACGAGGUGAUUUCAGAUGGUGGUAAGCGCUAUGAAGAAAAGAAUCUGGUGACGUGGUAAAGAGGGAUAGGGAGAAGAAUGUGAGAUGGUUCAGAAAGACUUCCUAAGAAGUAGCAUUGUAGCCAAGCCUUGAGAGUGCUAAAUGAGCCAGCUGGGAAGAGGUCUGGGGGCAGGAUUUUCCAGGCAUAGGAAAGUACUGGCCAAGCCCCUUAAGCGAAAGCUUUGGCAAGUUUUAGGAACACAGCGAAGGCCAGUGGGGCAGGAGCAAAGGGAGCAAGGGUGAAUGAUGGAAGAUGAAGUCAGACCCAGCGAAAACCAGAAUGUGUUCACCAUUGCGCCCAAUGGUCGCUCUGGUGCUCCAGACAUCUUGUCCCCACAGAAUUGAAAUCCGUUUCUUUCUACUCCAUUGACUGUCACCCUCAUGACUCAGUAGCUUUUUGAAUGAGCUUCUCUCUUUCACUGCCUCAUCAUCAGCAUCUUUCUGCUUCUCUAUCCCUCUCUCAAUUCAUUUUGCUUUAAAAAUUCCCAAGGGUGGGGAUCUGGGUAUGUUGGUUAAUACUAUUUAAUAAGAAGUGGUCCUAUUGGUCAGAGUCUCACACUAGGCUUUCUCAUUGGCUGCUGGUCUCCCUUAGGUCCAGCUUCCCUGGCCUGGACUCCUGGUUCAAUCAGUUGCGGCCAGGGUGUAAUGAGCUAGAGCUUGGCAGCUUAUUUUGAAGGAAAACUGUAAUGACUACUUUCAUCAGGAUCAAGUUGUGUAUUGUGUACUGGGUCAAAAUUAAAGAGACGGACAAAAUUCUUAGAGGUAGGUUAUAUAUCAUCACCUUGCAGGCUACAAACCUGAUGGGGCUUUUUACAAAGGGCUUAGUUCUUAGCUACUCACUGAACCUUCCUCAGAGACCACUGAGUCUGAUCCUUUACCAUCCAGAUCUAAACACUUAGAAGUCAGCUGUCCAGUGUAACCUCUUCCUAUUGGCUUUUUCUUUCUGCCAAUUGUAUCUUUCAUCCCCACAUGCAUUUAUGCUGCGUCCUUGCCAUUUUCUUUCUCCUGGACUUUCUUUCUGGACUGAUUGUGUGGAUGGCUUCAACAUAUAACAGAGCAGAAGCACUUUAUGUAAGAGAACUGCAGCUUCCACCUGUUGGAACACCUCUUCAUGGAACCCAGAUACCAUGCUGCAAGGAAGCCCAGUUAGCCAUGUGAGAAACCAAACUGGAUAAUGGAGGCCUCCAACCAGCAACUCCAGCUGAGCUCCCAGCCUGACAGCCAGCACCAACUGCCAUUUAUGUGAGUGAAGCCAUUUAGGGCCUUCUAACCAUCCCAGUGCUGCAGCCAACCUUAGUUUAGUAUACACACACCUUACCCCUGCCAAACCCAGGGAGGUAUACAAUGCUGGGUCAACCCACAGAACUGUGAGAAAUAGCAAACUGUUUUCUUCAAAGUCCCUAAGCUUUAGUGUGGUUAUAUGAAGUGAUAGUUAACCUUGUAAGGGACAGCAAGUAGAUUACACUGAAUGCAUCAUAUUUGGCCUUAUAGAACCUCAGAAUUCAAGGGCUGUAGGCCUAUGAAAAUUGAAAAUGAAAUUUUCAUUUUACUUGAUAAUUGCUUCUUUGGAGAAUCAAUAGAAGAGACUUUCUAUCCUAAUGACAAGCAGCCGAGGCCACCCUGGACCCUAUUGUGGUGGUGGAGAUUUAGGGAGAGACUGCAGGCAUAGCAAGGUGGGGAAGGGAGGGAGCUGGAGUAAAUUCAGGUGUAGAUAGGUAAGAUUGAGUCUGUGACAUUUUACUCAGAAGGUUCAGAAUUUGGCAUUGUUGUUUCCUGUAGAAUGAGGGAAGUUCACAUGGAUAUUAUUUAUUAUUCAGAUGCUAAUUCUUUGGAUGGUGAAAUGAAAAACCUCCUGCUUUCUCUCUCCCCUUUCGUUUCACUUUCUGCUUUGCUUUCCUUUGCUCAUACUAUUCCUUUUUUCCUUCUUUUUGAAGGGAAGAAACAGCAGCAAUGUCCAAACCUGUUUUUGUGCUCCAGCCUGAAAUUCAAAUUUGGUCCUUACCCAAAGUCAAUAUUUUGGGAGAAGUUUGAACUAAGUCAUUCAUGCAAUCUUGGGUUUCAAAUAUGAAAAAUCCCUACAGUUUUCUACUUAAAAAGAAAUAAAAAGUCUGAAAACGCUGUACCAAAAAGCUAUCAACCAUUGGAGGCUGUCAACUUCAAACUUGGCAGGAAAAAAUAAUCACCAAAGGAGGAAAUUCAAGUCAAGUGUGGCCAAAGCUUGUAAUGUGUUAAAGGCACGUAGACCAGAGCUCAUGCAGGGUAUUGGCAGGUGAAACCCUGCACUGCAACUGACCUGUCACUGUGCAGGAACCUCUAGACAGGGGCCUCUUGUUUGGAUAAUUGUGGUGAUCUCAUUAAUUGGUCUCCCUGAUUCAAGUCUGUAUCUUUUUAAAAUCACAAAUCUGAUCAGGUCAUUUUCAGUGACUGCCCGUUGUCCUCAGGAUGAAUCAGUACUUCUCAGCAGGACUUAAGAAUUGACAGCCAUGUUCCAGCUAUGAUUCUCUCUCUGGCCACAUCUCUGGUCACACCCAAACUCACACCCCUUUCCUCAGUCACACUGAGCUUCAUGAUGUUCCAACAAUGUUCAUUGCUCUCCAGCAUAAGUCUCUGUACAUGCUGUUCUUUCUCCUGGAACUGCACCUCAUUCCCAACUUAUCUGUCCACCAAGAAUCAUUUCAGAUGUCACCUCUUCCAGGAAGGACUAGAAAUACCCCAGCUGAAUUCCCACAGCAUCUGGGAAUUUAUCAUGUUGUAUAAUAAUAAUCAGCUUACACAUAUAUCUCUGUUACUAAACUGUUAACUCCCUAAGGUCAGUUACCAUGCUAUAUUUAAUUUUUUAAUUCUUAAAACCUAACACAUAGUGCCUGGCUUAUAAUAGAUGCUCAAUAAACCAUUUUGAAUAAAAAAUUAAUGAAUGCCCCUGAACCCCACCUACAUUUUUGCAUCAUGGGGAGAAACCAGAGGGAUGUAGGGUAGCAGGGCUUUGAGGUGACCACAGAGUCCAGACACUGAGACCAGAAGACAAUUUUAUGUUCAUGUCAUAGUUUUGCCAGGAAUUAAUUCUUCCCCGAAAAAUGUCUCCCAUGAGAACCUACACCCACAGCCACUCAACAGGACAGCGUUCUUGUUUUUUGAAGUCUUGCUACAAGGGACUCUGUCGCAAAGAAUUGGAAUUUACUCAUUUAAUUAACAAAGAUAUUCUGAGCUUCAGCUGUGCCAGGACUUGUACAUAUAGAAACAUGAAGGCAACAUGACUUGUUUUUCUCAAGGAGCUUAUAGAGUGGUGGACAAUGGGUAACAGGAUUUGGUUUUGAUUUGACGCUAGUCUGGGGGAGGGCCUCCUCAUUUACUGGGGACUCAGUGGACCAGUGUUAAUUCUGCUCUAAAAAAAAUUAAAAUUUUUUUUCUAGGAGAGAAAAUUAAAGCUCACCCAAGAAAACAAAUACAGAUGAUGUAUCUCAUCAUGGAAACAAAAGGUUUUGUUUCCAUGAUGAGAUAUGAUACAUUAACAAAUAAAUAAGACACCAGAUGCAGAUACUUAGAAAUCAGGAAAUUCAUCAUGUGCUUCCUGUAUAUAUAACUCAGUCACAAGGAUGGAACAGACUUUUCUGCUUAAAGACUGAAUAUGUACCUAAAAUCCUUGAGGAUUAUGGUCCAAAUUCUGUUUGUGGGAUAAAAUGUCCUCGAGUGAGAUGUUUAGUAUGGGAAUGGGAGAUGGUGAGAGCCUAAAAUUGGUCUUUUGUUCUCUAGAUCAAGCCCAGAACUGAUGCUGGGAAGGAUUUUAUUAUGUAAACAACAUCAAUAACUGGAACUAUGUCAGUGGAUCACAGGAAUAUAAGUUAGAUAUCACAGGGCAGAAUUCCACCUAAAGUCAUUGCAAGGAGAGCAGAAAAAUAUGCCCCAAAUUCUCCUCUGAAUGCCAUCCACCUAGUCACCUAUCCAGUCUGAAAUAUCUACUCACUUUUGCUUUCUUCUCAAAGUUAAACUUCUGAUAUCUAGAAAUGUACUUAAAAGGGGAACCUGAGGAAAGUUAUUUGCUUUCUAAUAAUAUUGUAAAUUAUUGACUGUAAUUAUUCCCUCACUCUGUCCACACCCUUUGCCAUCUACAUUUACUAUCUAUGUUUGUACUUCCCUGACCUAGACUUGUGCUUUGGCCAAUGGAAUAUGAGUAAAAGUGAUAAUAUGUCAGGUUUUGAGUCUUUGUCUUAAGUCACAGUACUUGAUUCUGUGUACCUCUCUUGCAUCUCUGCCAUUAAUAUGAGAAGAGCUUGUCCUGGGUAGCUUCUGCCUCCUAGUAAUGAUGGACACACACAGAGUAGACAUGAGCUCAAAAUCAAAUGAGGAGCCAAGCCCAGGUAUAUCUUCAACUUGAUUCAGAGACAUCUAGCUAAAGCUAGACUAGAUUAGCAGAACCACAGCCAACUUUUGAACAUACAAGCAAGAAUUAAUGAUUGUUGUUUAAGUCACUCAGUUUUGUUACCCAACAAUAACUGGCUGCUACAAAUAAUAAUAAUAAUAACAAUAAUAAUAAUAAUAAUAGCCAACUUGCCUAUAACUUAACCAAGAUCAUUUAGCUAGUGACCAAUGCAGAUGGAAUUCAAAUCUGGCUCUAAAUUCCAUGCUCUUAAUCACUUCCUUAUAUGACCUUGAGAAAUGAUCCUAGUUAAUACUUGGGUGAGUUGUUUUCAGGCAGAGAUUUUUAUAAAGAGAAGAUGAGAAAAUACAUAAAUUUCUUUUUACAUGGAUUACAGAGAAGAGAGCUAUAAGUCAUACCAGAAUAAUUCACUCAUAAGAAAAUUCAGUCAGGUUCCCCAGAUCUGACAGAAAGCAUAUUAAAAUAGAAAACUAGAAGAAAGCAGGAUUCAGGAUUUAAAAAUAGCAGGCCAUAAAAAAUAAGGAUGAAGGGCUGCCCAGUGUGACCACUAUCAUGCCAGAAUUUGUCUGCCAUUUACUAGCUUUGUGGUCUUCUCUGUGCCUCAGCUUUUCAUCUAUGAAAUAGUAAUAAUAAAAGUAACUACUUCCUCCGACUGUUUAGAGGAGUGAACGAGUUAGUGUGUGUCAAGUGCUGGGAACAGUGUCUGGCACAUUGUAAGCAGUGUAUGCAUGUUAGCUUAGUGGUUCCUCUAGGAGGAAGCACCAUGCUUACCAUCUGCCCGGUAUCUCUGACUCCACCACUGUGACGCUUUUGUAAUGUGUCAACUUAGCUACUAGAACUACAUUUCCCAGAAUUCCUUCCCUAUAUGGUCUAGAUAGAAUUGCCAUAUGAAGAAUCUGCAUGAGAUUUGGAAGGUGAAUGUGGAGCAUCAGCCAUCACUGUCUGGAGGUCAGUGUCAGGCACAAGGGGCUGCUGCAGCUUCACUCGUCCUGGACCUGCACAGGACAGCAGCUGGGCCUGCACCUCCUCUCCUCCUUCUGGACCUCCUCCUGUAGCUGCUCUGGCCAGGUAUAUGUGUCGCUCCAUGAUGGAGGAUCCAGCUUGCAGGUCACCCAUGUGGUUGAGAUUGAAAUGGCAGAAGACAGAUAGGGCUUGGAGUUGGUCCCAUGGAUUUCAGUUGGGCCUCAUGGAAUCCCGUUUGUCUUCACAGAUUUUAGUGCUCCUUGCUUUUCUGCACUUCACGUCCAGCUUUCCAUCCAAAAGGCCUGGCCUGCUGACCCAUAGCAACUUCAGGAUUGGCCCACCAAAUGCAGAGGGAUCAGCCUAGCACAGACAUCUCCACGAGCUCCCACCAUGACCCAAGGUCUAAUCUCUAUUGCAGAUCUGUGUUUUUCUACAUCACUCAUGGUGGUCAUUUGGCCCUGAUUGAAUCUUGGCUGAUACAUCCCUCACCCCAUUACCUUGUGAGCUGGAUAUAAGACAGUGGUAGCAUGGGAAGCUCAGGGUUCUGUGGAACACAUUUUGCAUUUAUCAUAACUUUAAGCAUUUUGGAUCCCAACUACCACCCUUUGCCUUCUCACUAUUUUCCCAGAACUUCUCUGUGGGAGGACUUUGAGCAAUAAGGAAAGAAUAUUGACUGCUGAAAUCUCCACAGAAAAAAUAUCCAAUUUCUGGCUUCAGCACAGGGGUGGGUGGGGUUAACCACAGAUUUGUCAUCAGGUUUUAAAAUCAAAGCAGUAAGAUUUUCCUAAAAAUAAAUGAAGAAGAAAAAAAGAAUUCUAUUUACCUCAAUAUUGCUGUUUUCACAAUAUCUGAGAACAAGUUGUACAGAGUAAUACAAAUGCUAAGAAGGUGGGUCCGAAUGAAAUACAGAAUUCAUAAGAGGAUGUUGUUACUCAGAGGAAAGGCAGCCCAGUGUGCUUCGAGAUGGUAUUGCAGCAAUGAAAACAAGCUCAAUGUUCAUGUCAGAUAAACAUGAGUCACAGCUCUGGAAGGUUAGCAAGUGACUCAUCUUCAGGACUGGGCACUUAGUGAAGACAACUGUUUACCUCAGCCCUGCGGUUGUGGACACAAACAUUCUUUUCUUCCCUUGUGACUGGGUCACUGGGAGAUGCUGGUGCAGCCACGUGCAUCGGCACCCCAGCUUCCACCACACAGACGCUCACCUCUCCUGCCCCAUGAUGCCUUCCACUCUCUGCUCUCAGCCUUUCACUGUCCUUAGGGGUGGAAAUUCUCUAAAAUCAAUGGGUUUCCUGGUAAAUGGGGGAGAAAAUACUUCAGAGCCUCUCCUUGCAAGGAGGGGCCAUUGUUAGGAACUUUUGGGCUGACAUGCUGUGGCUGAGUCCAGGGGGCAACAAAGAACAGACCAGUUUCAAACUUGGUCAGCUAGCCAAAAAAAAAAAAGGAGCUAAAGGGAGUGUAGAGACUCUGGUGGAGGCCGGGCAGAGCCAGAGUCAGGGAGAGGAUCCUCCCCUGUCAGUGGGUGGUAGUGAGGACUGGAGUCAGGGCCACAGCAAGGUCAGGGAUGGAGGAAUGGAGGAGAAUUCAUGCAGGAGAAGCUUGGCUGGAGCUGUAGUGAAUCAGAGGGGGCAUCACCAGCAGGGCUCUGGCUAGUUGCACUAUUGUCCUUUUCUGCCUUGUCUGAGUUGUUUUGUUACCAGAACCCAGAGUGUCUACUGCUGUAGCCAUAGAGGCUGACUGCUCAGGAAGCAGGGUGGCAGUGGAGGCAUGUCAUCCGGAGAAACACACAUCCUUGCACCAGGACACAUGAACAACAAUGUCCACAGCGGCAUUGCUCAUAACAGCUCCAAGUGAGAAAUAGCCAAAUGACAUCAGCCUCGGAGGUGCUGAAUUUAUAAGUAAGCUGGCUGUUUAUACAGUGGAAUAAAUACUAUCUUCAUUUCCUAGGGCUGUCAUAACAAAUUAGUGCAAACCAGUGGCUUAAAAUAACAGAAAUUUAUCAUUUCACAAUUGAGGAGGCUAGAAGGCUCAAAUCAAGGUGUGAGGAGGUUGUUUCCUUCUGGAGGCUCUCAGGGAGAACCUGCUCCAUGCCUGUCUCCCAGCUUCUGGUCUUUGCCAGCAAUCCUUGGCAUCCCCUGGCUUGUAGCUGUCAUCACUCCCAUCUCUGCCCCCCUCUUCACAUGGUGUUCUCCUUGUUUUCUCUCAGUGUCUUCACAUGAACAUCUUAUAAGGACAACAGUCACUAGACUUAGGGCCCACCCUAAUCCAGUAUGAGUCAUUUUAACUGAUUACAUCUGCAAAGGUCCAAAUGAGGACCAAAUGAGGUUUCCAAAUGAGGUCACAUUCUGAGGUUCUAUGUGAAUGUGAAUUUUUGGGGGGACACUAUGCAACCAGUGCAAAUACUAUACAACCAUGAAAAUGAAUGAACUACAGCUGCAUGCAGCAACAUGGUGAAACACAGACAUGAUAUUCAGGAACAAAAGUUAGGUGCCAAAGAGUGUGUACUGUGGUGUUACACUAGGCGAUUCAAAGUCAGGGAGAGUUAAACUGUAGUGCUUAGGAAUGCAUACUUUGUGAUACACAGGAUAUAUGUAUCAUAAUGAAAAGCAGGUAAAUGAUUCCCAUAAAAGGCAGGAUAGGGGUUACCUUUAGGAGGGAAAGGAGUAUGAGAGGGGUUCCUGGGAUGCUGGAAUGUUCUCUUUCUUCACAUGGCUGGUGGUUGCAAGAGUGUUCAUUUUUUGAUAUUUCAUGAAGCGGUUUUAUUUUCUGUACCUGCUAUUUUUCACAAUAGAGCAAGGGGGUGACAGGUAACCUGCAGUUCCGGGUUCUGGCACCAGUUACUGAGUUUUGGGUAAGUUGUCUCCCUGGACCUCGGUUUCCUCAUCCAUAAAAUGAGGAGGCUGGAGACAAUGCUCUCCAAGCUCAUUAAAAUAUAACUCAUUUAAUUCUCCAGGCAUUUCUCAAAGAGAGGAGGACCCCCCUCUCUUUGUAAACAUUAUGUUUACAAAAAAGGAAACUCUUGAGAGAGUCACCGUAACUUAGUUAGACUUUGAAACCAGAAGAACCUGGAGUUAAGAGGUAGAGGUGAAGUGCAGGGGGACCCAGUGAUGACAAAGGGGUUUUCAGAUCAUUCUGUCGUAAGGAGCAAUUCAAGAGAAGAGGUGGGUUUGAGGUGAGGUGGGGUUGGGUAGACAAGCUUCAUUGUGGAGACACUGUUGGAAGUGAGAUGUUGGUGGGAUACUAUGUGGAGAGUCUGCUAGGCUGGAGCAAGUGCUGGGCUCAGCCAGGUCUGGACUAAGCAUGGACAACUUGAAAUCAAGUCCUCUGCUUCAUGGCCUGGGAUGGGUCUCACUUUACUCUGUCCUUACUGGGAUUGUUAUUCGUAGUGGCGUGACUUUGGAAUACCGUGUCAACCCUUCUUCCAUCCUGAUUUCUCUCUGGACUUGCACUUCUCACCAGUGGGCUGUCACUGGUUCUUGGUCAGUGACAUACGAGAUUUACGACUUCUUUGGAGCUAACUUUAUGUGUAGGUCAUCUAAAUGGUAAACCUCAAAUGUCUCACUGCCUGGAAUCCCAUCACAAGGAAUGAUAUCCUUUAGAUCCAGCAUUCCUCUCCCCAUGGCCUUUUCAAAAAUAAAUGCCAAUGCCCGCGAGAGGCUAAACAGAGUAAUUCUUCAGCCUUUAGUAGAUUAACAUCUUACAUGUUUUCUUCUGUGACAGGAGGGUGAGAUAGAGGAAAACACUGGCAUCUGAGCAGUAGGGGGUGGUGGGCAGCGAAAGGGACCAAUAAUCUGUGUUCAAAAGGCAGGCUAGGGCAGAGGGGAUACAUUUCAUAUAUGUUAAUAUCCUGAAAAUUUUCUGACAAUGUACAGCUCCUAUCUCUUCUCAUGUACAGUGAGUCCUCAUGUAACAUUUCUGAUAGGUUCUUGGAAACGUCAACUUUAAAUGAAACCAAUCAAUAGAUGAAUUGAAAUAAAUGAGUUAAUUAAGUUCCUAUGGCAUAUUUCUGGUCACAAAAACAUCACCUAUUGAUGGGAGUAUAAAUUAGUUCAACCAUUGUGGAAGACAGUGUGGCGAUUCCUCAAGGAUCUAGAAAUAGAAAUACCAUUUGACCCAGCAAUCCCAUUAUUGGGUAUAUACCCACAGGAUUGUAAAUCAUUCUGUUAUAAAGACACAUGUACACGUAUGUUCCUUGUGGCACUGUUUACAAUAGCAAAGACCUGGAAUCAACCCAAAUGUCCAUCAAAGAUAGACUGAACAAAAAAAUGUGGCAUGUAUACACCAUGAAAUACUAUUCAGCUAUAAAAAAGGAUUCACAUGAGUGAAUCUGGAAACCGUCAUUCUCAGCAAACUGACACAGGAACAGAAUAGCAAA